AACCAUCUGUCUCUGGGACCUCCUCUGUCCCCUCCCGUGACUAACACCCCAGCCCCUGCCGCGUUGUCGUCUAACAGCUAUCUCUGGGAGAGGGCGGGCUGUGCGUCGUGAGGGACGGGGCAGGCCAGCUCCUCCUCACCCUCGUUGGUGGGGGGCCGCAGAGGUGCAGUCCCAGCUCUGGGCUCACCAGCCGGGACACCCGGCUAGGCAGGGGGCCUCUGCAGCCUCCUCUGCUUGCUCCACCCCGUGUGGAGGUCUGCUCACCCCCCGCAGGGCGGUCGAGCGUGGAUGGCAGCCGCAUGCAGCAAGUCCCCCUCACCAGCCCUCGCUGCACCCUGCGGCCCGCAGUCCCGGGGCUGGCCCCGCACCGCCCUCCUCCGCUUCCUCUGCAUCUUCCCAGGGAGAUGCUGGCCACGUUUCCCAAACCAAAAGCUGACGUGAUAAUGGGAUGGGUUGUUUGCAACAGAGGUCGCUCAAAAAAACCUCAGGCCAUCAGAUCGUAACCAGGGGCCGAGCGUGGCCUGAAUGUGCAGGCUUCUAGAGCCCGCACUAAGGGGUGUCUCCAACGUCCGUCACAAAUCGGAGGCAACAGCCCAGAGCAGGUGGCGCUUGGUCCUGGUCUGGCCAAGUCAGCCAAGAGACAGCUCUGGCCAGCCCUGCGGGAGCAGUGAAGACACUCACGGGUGCUCAGGGAGGGCCGUCCCAGUGUCGGCCAGGGCCCAUGUGGGGCCCGAGUCAGCCAGCUUCUCGGCCGGGCCUGAGGUCCCUGCCUGCACAGAGCUUGUCUCUGUGUGCAAAGACCCAUAGACAAGACAACCAUGCGUUCCCACAGGUGCUCGGAGGAAGACACUGAGGGUCCUGUAGUGGGCAAUGCCGGGCACAGAGGGGCUUCAGCAAGGGGGCUUCUCAGAGGCGGUGUUUGAGCGGACAAGGAUGAGGGGAGCCCGCCCUGCGGAGAGUAUGGGGGCGGACUUGCGAGCUGAAAGAGCGGCAAAUGCUAAGCCCCCGAGCCUGCCACCAGCCUGGCGAGUUCAGAGAAAAGAAAGCAGAGCAGCGUGGCUGACGAGCGUAGGGCGUGGGGAGGGCAGAGGAAGGCACACUGAGGGGGAAAGCCUGGGUUUGUCCACGUACAGGCCGCUUUCUGUGUGCCCUGGGCUAGGGCGCCAUGAUGCAGUGCCUCUCUGGCCCGCUCGCCUGGCUGGAGGCAGGAGGUGAACCCAUCAGGCGGGAGCCAGAGCAGGGCCCGGGAGGUGAGGCGGGCAGGGCCGGCCUGCAGCCCUCGGCGGAGGUGGCUGCUUCCUGCUGGUGGAGCAAGGACAGGCUGCCACAUUUCGAGCAGCCAGGUGUCCCUUUCAGGGCGAGAACGCUGUCCAAGGCGUUCCCACUGGGAUAGCAAGUUCUGCAGCUCCAAGCUGGAGCGCUUCCUAGACUCACAGAUGGUGCCCUGGGGGCAGCCGCUGUAGGGCCCGCAGAGAUGUUGGGGUCACUGUCGGGGUGGUGGGGGUUUGUUCAGAGGGGAGGACCAAGGCCCAGAGAGGACUUGGUUUGUCCAGGUGCCCUGGAAAAUUGCUCUUGAAACAAGGACUUGAACCUACAUCAGGGAAGGGGACCUCUUUCCCCACCAGGAUCCAAAAUUACUUACAUACUCAGUCAGGACCACGUUUGGCCUCUUUACUGAAUUCAUCCAGAAACGUGCAGGAGCACCUUAUUUUUUUCCUUUUUAAUCCAGGUAUGUGCACUGGACCACUAAAGUUUUGUUUACAUGGCAUUCAGUGGUUUUUAAUCCAGCUUUCCUGAGAUGAUUGACAUCUGACGUUGUGUGAGUUCAAGGUGCACAGCACGAUGGCCUCAUGCGUUAGAUGCUGUAAAUGAUUACCGCGGGCAGGCAGGUUAAAACGUCCGUGACCUCACACAGUCACCUUCCUCUGUGAAUGCGCUGAGAACUUGCAGACCUUGUUGCGCUCCUCCCAAGUCCGCAACACAGCACCGCCAGCCGCGGCCGCCGUGCCGUCCAUUCACCCCCACGGCCUGUCUGCCUCGUUACCGCAGCUGUGCGCCCCUCGACCGCCUCACCCCUGGCAGCCACCAGGCCAGUCUCUGUUUCCAUGAGUUUGGCUUUUCGAGAUUUUUUUAUUUUGUAUUGAAGUAUAGCCGAUUAACAAGAAACGUUGUGAGAGUCUCAGCUGCACAGUAAAGGGACCCAGCCAUACCUAUGCUUGUGUCCCUUCUCCCCAGACUCCCCCCUCACCCAGGCUGCCCCGUGCCCUGAGCAGAGCUCCCUGUGCUGUCCCCCAGACUCCCCUCUCACCCAGGCUGCCCCGUGCCCUGAGCAGAGCUCCCUGUGCUCUCCCCCAGACUCCCCUCUCACCCAGGCUGCCCCGUGCCCUGAGCAGAGCUCCCUGUGCUCUCCCCCAGACUCCCCUCUCAUCCAGGCUGCCACAUGGCCCUGAGCAGAGCUCCCUGUGCUGCACAGGAGGACCCUGUUGUUCACCCAUUUUAAAUACCGGCUUUUCUGGAUUUUACGUAGAAGUGAGAUCAUGCAGCA
Long non-coding RNA from Bubalus bubalis (water buffalo), 2545 nucleotides. RefSeq lists it as uncharacterized. Lineage: Eukaryota; Metazoa; Chordata; Mammalia; Artiodactyla; Bovidae. The transcript has 2 exons. The record is from RefSeq and is a predicted model, not a curated record.